RNAcentral lists this long non-coding RNA (1590 nucleotides) under Salmo salar (Atlantic salmon). RNAcentral's name for it is "lncRNA (ENSSSAG00000086384.1)". The record is from RNAcentral. Lineage: Eukaryota; Metazoa; Chordata; Actinopteri; Salmoniformes; Salmonidae.
AAUGUGUAUAUUAUUUUAAAACUUUUGUGAGUGUAAUGUUUACUGUUAAUUUCCAUUGUUUAUUUCCCUUUUGUUUAUUGUCUAUUUCACUUGCUUUGGCAAUGUAAACAUAUGUUUAUCAUGCCAAUAAAGCCCUUUGAAUUGAAUUGAGUGGGAGGCCUCAGCCCCUGUGUUGCAUAAAUGCUCAUUGCUGUUUACUGUAAGGGCCAGGGCUGAAGACAUACAGUACAUGGAAAUAACAGGGCAGGUAUCAUGACAUUUUAAGUAUUUCCAAAAGAAACAUUGGUGAUCAUUCUGGUAUAGUUUGUAGUUUUACUCACAUUCACAUGACUGGCUCAGACACCUCAGACAUGAUUGGUUAGUUCAGCCCUAAGCUGCUGCAGUAGGGCUCCCCCAUGAUGUGGCAAUCUACUGUCACUGCCACCUUAUUCAGUAGGUGAGUGAUUACUCUACUGUAGUAGACAGAGAGGUCCCCUACCAUGACUCUACUGUAGUAGACAGAGAAGUCCCCUACCAUGACUCUACUGUAGUAGACAGAGAAGUCCCCUACCAUGACUACUGUAGUAGACAGAGAAGUCCCCUACCAUGACUCUACUGUAGUAGACAGAGAAGUCCCCUACCAUGACUCUACUGUAGUAGACAGAGAAGUCCCCUACCAUGACUCUACUGUAGUAGACAGAGAAGUCCCCUACCAUGACUCUACUGUAGUAGACAGAGAGGUCCCCUACCAUGACUCUACUGUAGUAGACAGAGAAGUCCCCUACCAUGACUCUACUGUAGUAGACAGAGAAGUCCCCUACCAUGACUCUACUGUAGUAGACAGAGAAGUCCCCUACCAUGACUCUACUGUAGUAGACAGAGAGGUCCCCUACCAUGACUCUACUGUAGUAGACAGAGAGGUCCCCUACCAUGACUCUACUGUAGUAGACAGAGAAGUCCCCAGUCUCUCUCUGUUGUCCUCCACUACCAGCACUUGUAAGACUCACUCCCUUCAUCAAAGUUUUUCCCCCAAAUACUUCCAUCUCUUACUCAUAGCUUUUUGAAGGAAAAAACUGUUUCACGUACUGAUAAGCAUAAGUACUAUUUGUCUCAGGAAUUUUAAGCAAAUAUCAGGCAAGUCUGUAUCUGCGUGGUUUAGAUUGGAUAGUAAUUAUUCACCGAGCUGUGAAUGACACAGAGGGCUGUGUUGACAUUCCGCUAAUCUAAAGGCUGGACAUGUUAUGUUAAUGUAGCCAACGCAGGAGAAGAUCACUUCCCUGUUUACUUUCUCACAGUGGACUGGCACAUUGAUAAACCUCUCGAAGACAUAACCUCACACACACGUGUGUGUGCAUCCACACACAUAGAUUUCACUUACAGACACACGUGCACCUGAACACAAAUGCACUCCCUCCCAAACUCCCUCACAUACAGUACACACACACCACACACACACACACACACACAGACAGGCACACGUAUGUGCAUGCACACACAUUCCAGAGGUUGUAUGGAAUGUGGGACAGAAUGGUUGGCACAAGGGGAGCGUGACUCAGCUGCCGGUCCCAGCCCUAUCCCCCUUAUCACCUCUAGGUUGGGUGUGUGUGUGUG